Molecule: long non-coding RNA, 626 nt
Organism: Puntigrus tetrazona (Sumatra barb)
Lineage: Eukaryota; Metazoa; Chordata; Actinopteri; Cypriniformes; Cyprinidae
Exons: 3
Source: RefSeq, a predicted model, not a curated record
AAACACUUUGGCCAUGACAAAGUUUUCUCAAGGCUAAUUUCAGACUUAAAAGACCUGGAAGACAAUGGAAUAACUGUGGCAGAGAAAAAAGUUAAAGGGACUGUUUUGUGCAUUGCAGGGGACAAUUUGGGGUCUCAUAAUAUUGGUGGUUUUACAGAAAAUUUUAGUUUUUCUGAAUAUUUCUGCAGGUAUUGCCGGAUAACACGAGCAGAUUUUCAAACAGAUCCAAAUGCAUGUGGACCUCAGCGCACUCCUGAAAACUACCAAUCUGCAGUAGACAUUUUACAGUCUGAGGGACAACAAAACGUUGAAGAAAUGGAUGAUUCAGAGCUAAACAUUUCAAACAUUAGCAAUGCCAUUGAUGCUGUAUUACCUGAACUCCCAAUCGCAACUAAAAAAAUCUCUUGAGGACACCUUAAAAUCACUUGGAGUGGCGACCCCAAAAGAUUUCAGAUUUCUUCAGGAAUCGGAUCUGGGAGCUGUACUGAGGCCCAUUCAAGCCAGGAAAUUUAUUUCUGUUCUAAAGGAGACCACACAAAUUUCUGAAACCCCAGAGCAACCAGUCAGUUCGUCUCCAGGAUCUUUUCUGUCCCAGAGUUCUUCAUACUCCUCUCCCAGCACCUCCC